This 253-nucleotide ribosomal RNA is filed under the name uncultured bacterium. RNAcentral describes it as "partial 16S ribosomal RNA". It matches the Rfam family "Bacterial small subunit ribosomal RNA", at positions 524 to 776 of the family's 1533-position model. The record is from RNAcentral.
UACAGAGGGUGCGAGCGUUAAUCGGAAUUACUGGGCGUAAAGCGUGCGUAGACGGUUAUUUAAGUCGGGUGUGAAAGCCCCGGGCUCAACCUGGGAAUUGCAUUCGAGACUGAAUAGCUAGGGUACGGUAGAGGGAAGUGGAAUUUCCGGUGUAGCGGUGAAAUGCGUAGGUAUCGGAAGGAACAUCAGUGGCGAAAGCGACUUCCUGGACUAGUACCGACGUUCAGGCACGAAAGCGUGGGGAGCAAACAGG